Molecule: long non-coding RNA, 620 nt
Organism: Oncorhynchus tshawytscha (Chinook salmon)
Lineage: Eukaryota; Metazoa; Chordata; Actinopteri; Salmoniformes; Salmonidae
Source: Ensembl
GCUUUUCUAGACCUAAGGGAUAAUGUUUGCUUUAUAAUCCUUGUUUUAUGUUCUAAAACAUGUCAAAGCGCUAACGGAAUUAGCCCCAGAGCAUUUCAGAGUGCUGUAAAACCAAUCAAAAAGAAGUUGGGAGAUUACAUAUUACAUAUUUGAAUAAUCUAAUAAUUCAUGUAAUUAAACAAUCAAGGCAUUUAAACACUUGUGGGGAGGGGAGGGAGGGAGAGGCAAGCAGGGAGGCAGACAAGCAGGGAGGCAGACAAGCAGGGAGGCAGACAAGCAGGGAGGCAGACAAGCAGGGAGGCAGACAAGCAGGGAGGCAGACAAGCAGGGAGACAGACAAGCAGGGAAGCAGACAAGCAGGGAAGCAGACAAGCAGGGAGACAGACAAGCAGGGAGGCAGACAAGCAGGGAGGCAGACAAGCAGGGAGGCAGACAAGCGGGUGGGAGACGGGCAGGGAGUCAAGGAGAGGCAGACAGGCAGGGAGAGGCAGACAAGCAGGUGGGAGACAGGCAGGGAGUCAAGGAGAGGCAGACAGGCAGGGAGAGGCAGACAAGCAGGUGGGAGACAAGCAGGGAGGCAGGGAUGGGGGCGAGCACGGAGGGAGGCGUGCAGGGAGGCA